AAAAAGGUAAGCUAAAUAAGCUUUUGGGUUCAUACCCCGACAAUGAAUAAUUUUCCCUUUUUA
Molecule: transfer RNA, 63 nt
Filed under: Chlamisus sp. N29
Lineage: Eukaryota; Metazoa; Arthropoda; Insecta; Coleoptera; Chrysomelidae
Description: tRNA-Met
Source: RNAcentral